AAGCCUAGCCUUAAAAGUAGACAGGGUGUCUGCCUCACGGACUAAAACUGGUAGUUGGUUCCACAGGAGAGGAGCCUGAGAACUAAAAGAUCUGCCUCCCAUUCUACCUUACUGGGCCUUUUGGACUGGUUUUGCAUGGUUUACCUGGUCAUGCUGUAGUAUUGGAGCAAACUCUGUCUUCAGUUUGUUCAGGUGUUUACGAGGUCUGCAGCAACUGUUGACGGCCAGCGAGGAGGAAGGUUCCAGCUUCUUGAUGGCAGCAUCAGUGGAGAAUUCACAGAGCUGGUACCAGACCAGAGGAUAAAGAUGCGCUGGCGUUUCAGAACAUGGCCCAGUGAGCACUAUGCCACCAUCAUUCUGGACCUGCUGGAUCGAGGAGAUGAGACGGAGCUGAAGUUGGAGUGCCAAGAAGUUCCUGCAGGAGAAGAGGAGCCCACCAGGGAGGGCUGGAGUCGCUUUUACUUCCAGGCCAUUAAACAAACAUUUGGAUACUGAAGGAGACUCUGAUCUCUGAAGAACAUCUAAGGGGUUAAAAUGCAAACCAACAUUUUACUGUUAAUAUUCUCUGGAUGAAGAAAUAUUUAAACAGAAGGAAAUGCUUUGAUGAAAUCUCCUGCUGCUGGUUUCUGUCCAAGGUGGUUCCAGGAAGUGGGAACCCUGGAUGGGAAACUUCUGCUGGAAGUCAGACUGAAGAGAAGAGGUCCAUCAUGUCUGACUGUUUGCUCUAAUCCAGCUCUUCGUUUCAGGACCCUGAAUGCAGCCUGUUUUCUUUGCUAGCUGGAUUCACAAUUGUUUUCAGCAAAUGUGUAAAGAUGUGGGGAAAAGUAGCCGGGCUGCAGGAAGCAUGGAUAACAUCCACUAUCCUGCAAGAUGUGCCUUUGGUCCAACACACCUGAAUCUAACCGUUAGAUGAUUUAGAGGAUUCUGCUAACUGAGGAGGUAACUCUGCCGUUUGAUGCAGGUCUGUUGGACCAAGGAUGGAUCUGAAAGUUGCAGGAGGCCGACUCCCAGAAACUGGAAUUGCUUUAAUUCCCAGCAUAUUUGCAGAUUGCUGAACCAGAAAUGUUUUUAUCAAAACUGUCCUAAAAAUGUCUGCUGCAGAUCUGUGAUCACCGACGUUUCUGAAGCUUUUAGGUUUCAUUGCUCCCCAAUCAUUUAUGCAUUCUGUGUUUAAUGCGUCUUAUGUUUCAUUUAACUGGUGACCCCAAAAUGAAUUAACCGGACUAAAUGACUGCAGGCAGAUUGGUUAGAAAUGAGACCCUUUUUCUUCUGCUUGUUA
Cyprinodon variegatus (sheepshead minnow) is the source of this 1279-nucleotide long non-coding RNA. RefSeq lists it as uncharacterized. Lineage: Eukaryota; Metazoa; Chordata; Actinopteri; Cyprinodontiformes; Cyprinodontidae. The transcript is spliced from 3 exons. The record is from RefSeq and is a predicted model, not a curated record.